AUCAACUUUCGAUGGUAGGAUAGAGGCCUACCAUGGUGGUAACGGGUAACGGGGUGUUAGGGCACGACACCGGAGAGGGAGCCUGAGAAACGGCUACCACAUCCAAGGAUGGCAGCAGGCGCGCAAAUUACCCAAUCCCGACACGGGGAGGUAGUGACAAUAAAUAACAAUACGGGGUUCUUUCGGAUCUCGUAAUUGGAAUGAGUACAAUUUAAAUCUCUUAACGAGGAACAAUUGGAGGGCAAGUCUGGUGCCAGCAGCCGCGGUAAUUCCAGCUCCAAUAGCGUAUAUUAAAGUUGUUGCAGUUAAAAAGCUCGUAGUUGAAUUUCGGGGUUAGUAGGUUGGUCAUGCCUCUGGUAUGUACUGGUCUCACUGAUUCCUCCUUCCUGAUGAACCGUAAUGCCAUUAAUUUGGUGUUGCGGGGAAUUUGGACUGUUACUUUGAAAAAAUUAGAGUGUUUAAAGCAAGCUAACGCUUGAAUACAUUAGCAUGGAAUAAUGAAAUAGGACGUUCGAUCCUAUUUUGUUGGUUUCUAGGAUUGACGUAAUGAUUAAUAGGGAUAGUUGGGGGCAUUAGUAUUCAAUUGUCAGAGGUGAAAUUCUUGGAUUUAUUGAAGACUAACUACUGCGAAAGCAUUUGCCAAGGAUGUUUUCAUUAAUCAAGAACGAAAGUUAGGGGAUCGAAGACGAUCAGAUACCGUCGUAGUCUUAGCCAUAAACUAUGCCGACUAGGGAUCGGAUGAUGUUAAUUUUUUAAUGACUCAUUCGGCGCCUUACGGGAAACCAAAGUGUUUGGGUUC
RNAcentral lists this ribosomal RNA (799 nucleotides) under uncultured Glomeromycotina. RNAcentral describes it as "SSU rRNA". It matches the Rfam family "Eukaryotic small subunit ribosomal RNA", at positions 314 to 1114 of the family's 1831-position model. The record is from RNAcentral. Lineage: Eukaryota; Fungi; Glomeromycota.